Molecule: ribosomal RNA, 253 nt
Filed under: uncultured bacterium
Lineage: Bacteria
Description: partial 16S ribosomal RNA
Rfam family: Bacterial small subunit ribosomal RNA
Source: RNAcentral
UACGUAGGGAGCGAGCGUUGUCCGGAUUUACUGGGUGUAAAGGGUGCGCAGGCGGCUCUGCAAGUCAGGCGUGAAAGCUAGGGGCUCAACCCCUAAACUGCGCUUGAAACUGUGGAGCUUGAGUGAAGUAGAGGAGAGUGGAACUCCAUGUGUAGCGGUGAAAUGCGUAGAUAUAUGGAAGAACACCAGUGGCGAAAGCGGCUCUCUGGUCUGUAACUGACGCUGAGGUUCGAAAGCGUGGGUAGCAAACAGG